UACGGAGGGUGCGAGCGUUGUCCGGAAUCAUUGGGCGUAAAGGGCGCGUAGGUGGCCCCUCAAGCGUGCGGUGAAAGUCAGGGGCUCAACCCCUGAUCGGCCGUGCGAACUGGGGAGCUUGAGCACUGUAGAGGCAGGCGGAAUUCCGGGUGUAGCGGUGGAAUGCGUAGAGAUCCGGAGGAACACCGGUGGCGAAGGCGGGUCUCUGGGCCGAUACUGACGUGAGGAGCGAAAGCGUGGGGAGCGAACAGG
This 252-nucleotide ribosomal RNA is filed under the name uncultured bacterium. Its description in RNAcentral is "partial 16S ribosomal RNA". It matches the Rfam family "Bacterial small subunit ribosomal RNA", at positions 524 to 776 of the family's 1533-position model. The record is from RNAcentral.